UUGAAUAAUAACAUUUUGCAUCGCGUAGUCACCGGUUAUACAAGCUACACUGGACUCAGAUAAGGCUCUCAACGACCAACUCUGCUCGCUGCUACCAUCAUCUGCCAUCGAUGAUGCCUCAAAGGUAUCACCAUCCUCACUAGCAAUGUCGACUUCAGUAUCAUCGUCACCAUUCGUCUCUUCAGGUUCAUCUUGGAGAGCCUUUAAUGAGUCUUCCUCCAACCUAAUACCUUUCAAGAUGGACGAAAGCUCUUCAUCAUCCUUUCCGCUAUCUUUUGCACACUUCUUUUCACCAGCUUUGUCAGCUUCUUGAUCUUUCUGAAAUUCUUGCUCAGCCAAGGCAUUGUAAUGUUCCCACUUGGCCUUUCUCCUAAGGAACUUCCUGUGAGUACUGCUACUAACCGCAGGCCUCCAUUCACCACCACCAUCUUCAUCAGCAUCAUUUCCCCCCUGAGAUGCAUCUAUUCCUUCCACCACCAUCUUACCCUCAAUCUUCACCUCCGUUUUCUUAGGCGGGUACCUCUUCUGCUUCCUCCCGCCUUCCUCCUCAUCCUCUUCUUGACCCUCAGUAUGAGACGCAACAUCACCAACCUCAGAACAGCUGUCCGAGGGAGGAAGGAUGUUCAUGUUAAGGUCUUUAAGCGGAAGGAUCUUGGAAGUAGUGUUCGAUUUCUCCUCAGUCUCGUUCUCCAGCGCCUCCCACUCCUCCAAGUUAGCCACAUUAGACCCCCAUCCAGGCAACUCCUUCUCAGGUAAUCUCUUAACCCUAACAGUCUGAAUAGGCGGAGGAACAUCUCUAAGAUUCUUGGUCCCAUGAACCUCAGCCUCGAGCGUGUACGUCAAAGCAAUCAACUUAAGAUCAACAUCAGAGAGUGUUUGCAAAUCACCAGUAGCUUUUGCAAAUUUAAUAACUGCACAAACAAACAAAAAACAAUAACUGCUUUCAACCAUCGAAUCCAAACUAACUACCUCAAAAAGAAGAAUCAAUUUGCUUUACCUUUACUGAGGGAUUCAGGAGAAGGCUCCAUGGUUUCGAUAACGAAAGGGACGAACUCGAGACGACGGCGAGAGUUAGGGUCGCGAAUCUCCGAGAUUACUUCGGGGACGGUUACGAAUUUGUCGGCGAAGUUGGUUAAGCUCUGGCUACCGUCGAUGACGGCGUUGGCGUCGACGACCGCCAUGGAUAUGUAACGUAUCUGAAUAGUAUAAGCCAGCUGUAACGUUCAUAUAACUCAGCCAUCGAGUGUAAUUUGUUUCGCGACGUUUCAUAUUUUGGGCGGGAACAAAAUAUUUUGGGCGGGAACAAAAUCAUUCCUUCAACUUUGAAUAUAAUAAAACUUUAAUCUUUUCUUAAAUUUGAACCUAAAACUUUAAACUAUAGAACUAUAAAGUUAUAAAAUUAUAAAGUUUAUCUUUUGAACACAAUAUUAAAACUUUAAUCUUUUCGUAAAUUUGAACUUCAAACCCUAAACUAUAGAACUAUAAAGUUAUAAAAAAUUAUAAACUCAGCCGUAAUGUAUGCAUAACUCGGCCAUAACGUAUGUGUUGGAGUCUCACUGUAUGAACUAAAGUUAUCAUAUUCAGAUGACGCACCAUCUGAAUCAUCAAACAUAUAUAAUCAGCUUUCAAAUUCAUCAUCUUCUUCGUCUUCUUUCAUUUUCUUACUUUUUUGUUCAACUCUCUCAUUUUCUUACAAUUUACAAUUAACUUAGCUUCUUCAUCUCUCUCUUUGAGUCUUUCUUCUUAUGCAAAACGACAAAUCCAAUGAGAGAGGGAGCAUUCUUGCAGGAUGUCGGACGCAUUCUUGCAGGAUGUUGGACCGCCAUACAUGACACUGGAGGAGAGAAAGCUUCUCUUUAACCGAUCAUCAUCGAAAACGACAAAGAUUGCAGUAGAUCUGUCUCAGAUUUUUAAUUUUUUUAAUCUAUGUUUAUAGACCUAGGAGGUGAUUGGUAGUUGCUGUAGGUGCUGUCCACAGCCCUAUUUAUUUCUACAUCACUAAAUUCAGAGCAAUCAAGCUUUAAUUUUUUUUUGAAACCACGGCUUUUGAAAUAACCUACAGCUGUACAAGUGUUCUGCAGAGCCAAAUAUCCAAAGCAAUUGUUUAGUGUUUUCCAUAAAAUUCUAUAGCAAUAAAAUCUAAAACCACAGCAAAAAGUCUACAGAUUUUUUUCUGCAGAUAAAAUUUUAAAGCUACAGCCAAUACCAAUCGAACUCCAUAUUGCGGAAACAAUAAUUACCAUAUCCAUAAGAUCUCAGAGAAAGAUGAAAAAUAAGAUGAAGAAGAUAGAUAAAAAAAAUAUGAAGAAUAAAGAUAAUAUAGACUCUUAUUUUACCGUUGUAAUAUUAGACUAAUGAUGACAAGGUAAAUCCGAGUUGAUGACAUGAAAAAUUGGUUAGUCAGCCACCAAACGAAUAUAUAACUCAACCUAAAUAAGUCUGCCCUCAUGUACAAUGUAAGUCAGCCGAAACGUGGAUACUAGUUCAGUAAUUAAUAUUUUGCUAAUAAAUCAGUCGUAAUUAGGUAGCAAAAUUAUAAGUCAGCUGUAUCGUCAAAUAAAUCAGCCGUCAAAUGAAUGAUAUUCUAGUAAUUAAUGUUUCGCUAAUAAGUCAGCCAUAAAUAAGCCGAGUUUACUGUUAAUCCAUCCAAUUAUGGUUGAUUAAAUAUAACUCAGCCGUAACAACAUCCCAUAAGUCGGAAUAACUCAUCCAGUCGAUGUUCAUUAACUCAGGCGUGGAAACAUAACUCAGCCAUGUCUUAACUAUAACUCAGCCGAAUUUUUCAGAAAUCAAACCGCCGAUGUAUAAGUCAGCUGUAACGCGUGUACAUAAGUCAUCUGUUAUCCCAUAAAUCAGCCAGAUUUCUGUAAAUCAGCCGUUACUAACAGCUGACUUAUGUUCUUAAGUCAGCCGCGUUGUUUAAUUCAGCCGUAACGUAGCAACAACUCAGUUGUAACAAUGUAUAUAGCGCUUUACGGCUGACUUAAUGAAAACACAGAAUCAAAUUUCUACGUAGCGCCGAGUUUUUGCUUAUGUGGCACUAAAAAAUAAGGGCAUUCUUGGAAAUACGUUUUUUUCUCAUAACAUAAAAAAAAAGAACACGCUUGAUAUAAAAAAAUGGCAGUAAUGAAAAAAAGAUUUGUACGGGUCUAAUUAAUUGUCUUGAGUAAAUUUCCCUGAAUAUAAACUAUUGGUUUAUGGUUCUUAAAAGAAUAAUAGUAUUGAGACCAAAACAGUGCCGAAAGCAUGGGUAAAUGUUUGAAAGUCAAUUCUAAAGAAAAUGAAAAACAAAACAGAGCCAAAAGUAUAAUUCAUAAAAUAGCAAAUAUAACCACAAUACAAUUGUUCUCAUAGAAGAGAUGCUUGGUAUGGGGUAGAAACAAAUAGAUCAGUGCAUAGAACGCGAGUAAUGGUUAUCAUUAGGGUUCCGUUUCUGACUGAAAACCGCCAUAGCUUUUCUCACUGGAGGCUGCAAUGGUGCCUUUUUAUCACUGUGAUGGUUCAUGAACACAUCGUCUGAUAUAAAAUACUCAUCUCCCUGAACAACAAAAAAAAAAACCACACUAUAAUCAAAUCAAAAUGUUCUUUUCCUCCAUUAGAGUUUCUAUAGUUACUAACCGCUUUGCUUGCUUUCUUCUUGGUCUUGGGAUGGAGGUACUUUUGAGGAAGUUGAUCUUCCCUUAGAACCAGAUUCUUGGUGAUUGCGUCUCUUCCGCUUUUAGGCAUCGGUAUCGAAAACUGCACAAAGAAAACGAGGGUUUCUUGUUAAAAUGCAGAGCAAGUAACGAACAGCAAAUCAUGGUUGUUUCUGCUUAUAACCGACUACUUACUUUAGUCCCUCGAAGUGUUACACGUGGUUUACGUGCAGCUAUGAUGGUGCCAUUCUCGCCUAUUGUAACCGCUACUUUGCGCAGAGUGCCGCCAUUACCGCACUUGGGACAGAAGAUUCUUCCAAUUUCAGGAGUUACUGUGUAGCAAGCAUGGCAUUUCAACACCCACCUGAACAUCCAAGUGCAAUCAAGUAUAAGACUUCCCCCUCAGCUAAUGAAAAGUGUUUGAGGGAUAAGAGGAACAUCUGAUUCAUAAAGUUGUACCUGUUUAGUUGGCGAAUUUGCAUACCUCCGGGUGCAAGCAAACGCAAACCCAUUUGAAUAAUAACAUUUUGCAUCGCGUAGUCACCGGUUAUACAAGCUACACUGGACUCAGAUAAGGCUCUCAACGACCAACUCUGCUCGCUGCUACCAUCAUCUGCCAUCGAUGAUGCCUCAAAGGUAUCACCACCCUCACUAGCAAUGUCGACUUCAGUAUCAUCCUCACCAUUCGUCUCUUCAGGUUCUUCUUGGAGAGCCUUUAAUGAGUCUUCCUCCACCCUCAUAUCGUUCAAGAUGGACGAAAGCUCUUCAUCAUCCUUUCCGCUAUCUUUUGCACACUUCUUUUCACCAGCUUU
This 4447-nucleotide long non-coding RNA is filed under the name Brassica napus (rape). RNAcentral's name for it is "long non-coding RNA (BNAP_LNC003549)". The record is from RNAcentral. Lineage: Eukaryota; Viridiplantae; Streptophyta; Magnoliopsida; Brassicales; Brassicaceae.